This 2344-nucleotide long non-coding RNA is filed under the name Equus caballus (horse). RNAcentral's name for it is "lncRNA (ENSECAG00000039160.3)". Lineage: Eukaryota; Metazoa; Chordata; Mammalia; Perissodactyla; Equidae. The record is from RNAcentral.
GCGGCCGACAGACAGAGUGGGUCAUAGUGGCAGCCCGCCGCGCAGCUCAGCCCUGGGGGUCCAACCCUGACUCAGGCGGCAGACCACCACAAUGGUGAAAGUGGCAGCCCGCUGCGCUGCCCAGCCCGGGCGGGCCCCCCUCUACUCAGGCGGCCGACAGCCAGACUGGGUCAAAGUGGCAGCCCGCCAUGCUGCUCACCCCUGGCGGCCACCGCCAACUCAGGUGGCCCACCGCCAGAGUGGGUCAAACUGGCAGCCUGCCGCGCUGCUCAGCACUGGGGGCCCCACUCCCACUCAGGCGGCCGACCGCCCGAGUGGGUUAAAGUCGCAGCCCGCAGCGCUGCUCAGCCCUGGGGGCGCCCCACGUAGUCUGGCGACCGAUCGCCACAGUGGCUCAUAGUGGCAGCCCACCGCGCUGCUCAGCCCUGGGGUCCCCGCCCCCCACUAAGGCGGCCGACCGCCAGAGUGGGUCAAAGUGGCAGCCCACGGCGCUGCUCAGCCCUGGGGGUCCCACGCCCACUCAGGCGGCCGACCGCCAGAGUGGGUCAAAGUGGCAGCCCGCCGCGCAGCUCAGUCCGGGCGGGCCCCCCUCUACUCAGGCGGCCGACAGAAAGACUGGGUCAAAUUGGCAGCCCGCCGCACUGCUCAGCCCUGGAGGCCCCCCCCUCCCCACUCUGGCUGCCGACCACCAGAGUGGGUCAAUGUGGCAGCCCGCCGCGCAGCUCAGCCCUGGCUGCCCCACCCUGACUGAGGCGGCCGACCGCCAGAGUGGGUCAAAGUGGCAGCCCGCCGCGCAGCUCAGCCCUGGCUGCCCCACCCUGACUGAGGUGGCAGACCGCCAUAGUGGGUCAAAGGGGCAGCCCGCCACGCUGCUCAGCCCUGGGGGACCUCUCCACACUCAGGCGGCCGACCGCCAGAGUGGGUCAAAGUAGCUGCCCGCCGCGCUGCUCAGCCCUGGCUGCCCCACCCUGACUGAGGUGGCAGACCGCCAUAGUGGGUCAAAGGGGCAGCCCGCCACGCUGCUCAGCCCUAGGGGCGCCCCACACACUCUGGUGUCCGACUGCCAGAGUGGCCCAAAUUGGCAGCCCGCAGCGCUGCACAGCCCUGGGGGCCCUCCUCCCACUCAUGCGGCCGACCGCCAGUGUGGGUCAAAGUGGCAGCCCGCCGCGCUGCUCAGCCUUGGGGUCCCUCACCCCACUCAGGCGGCCGACAGACAGAGUGGGUCAUAGUGGCAGCCCGCCGCGCUGCUCAGCCCGGGCGGGCCCCUCUCUACUCAGAUGGCCGACAGCCAGACUGGGUCAAAGUGGCAGCCUGCCGCGCUGCUCAGACCUGGGGGACCCACCCCCACUCAGGCGGCGGACCACCAGAGUGGGUCAAAGUGGCAACCCGCAGCGCAGCUCAGCCCUGGGCGCCCCACCUUGUCUCAGGCGGCAGACCGCCAGUGUGGGUCAAAGUGGCAGCCCGCCGCGCUGCUCAGCCCUGGGGUCCCUCACCCCACUCAUGCGGCCGACAGCCAGAGUGGGUCAAAGUGGCAACCCGCCGCGCAGCUCAGCCCUGGGGGACACAACCUGACUCAGGUUGCAGACCGCCAGAGUGGGUCAAAGUGGCAGCCCGCCGCGCUGCUCAGCCCUGGUGGCCACACCCCACUCAGGCGGCCCACCGCCAGAGUGGGUCAAAGUGUCAGCCCACCGUGCUGCUCAGCCCUGGGAUCCCUCACCCCACUCAGGCGGCCCACCGCCAGAGUGGGUCAAAGUGUUAGCACGCAUUGCUGCUCAGCCCCUGGGGACCUCCCCCACACUCAGGUGCCCAACCAGCAGAGUGGGACAAAGUGGCAGCCCACAGCGCUGCUCAGCCCUGGGGGCCCUCCCCCCACUCAGGCGGCCGACCGCCCGAGUGGGUCAAAGUCGCAGCCCGCAGCACUGCUCAGCCCUGGGGGCGCCCCACGUAGUCUGGCGGCCGAUCGCCACAGUGGCUCAUAGUGGCAGCCCACCACGCAGCUCAGCCCUGGGGGUCCCACGCCCACUCAGGCGGCCGACCGCCAGAGUGGGUCAAAGUGGCAGCCCGCCGCGCAGCUCAGUCCGGGCGGGCCCCCCUCUACUCAGGCGGCCGACAGAAAGACUGGGUCAAAUUGGCAGCCCACCGCACUGCUCAGCCCUGGAGGCCCCCCCCCCACUCUGGCUGCCGACCGCCAGAGUGGGUCAAAGAGGCACCCCGCCGCGCUGCUCAGCCCUGGGGCCCUCCCUCCCACUGAAGCGGCCGACCGCCAGAGUGGGUCAAAGUGGCAGCCCGCUGUGCUGCUCAGCCCUGGAGGCCCCAACCCCUAUCAUGCGGCAGACGGUCAGAG